AGUGAUAAAACUUUUUCUUUUCAGGGCCAAGGAAUAUGAGAGUUUAAUAGAAACAUCAAAUUCUGGCUCUGACUCACCUUACAAGGCAAAACUUCAGCGAUUAGCCAAAGAUCUUCUAAAACAAAUUCAAGUACAAGACAGUGGCUCAUGGGCAAACACGAAAGUUUCUGCUUUAGAUCGUACCCUUGGCGAGAUCACUAGAAUACUGGAAAAAGAGAAUGUGGCAGAUCAGAUUGCAUUUCAAGUUGCUGGUGGAUUAACAGCCCUUGAACACAUUCUUCAAGUUGUGGUCCCAACCGCAAAUGUGAGCACAGGUUCACGGAUUCCUCCUAAGUAAGUAUAGUUUUUUCAUCUGUCUUUCACAUU
Long non-coding RNA from Talpa occidentalis (Iberian mole), 366 nucleotides. RefSeq lists it as uncharacterized. Lineage: Eukaryota; Metazoa; Chordata; Mammalia; Eulipotyphla; Talpidae. The transcript has 3 exons. The record is from RefSeq and is a predicted model, not a curated record.